CGCCAGACUCCUACGGGAGGCAGCAGUGGGGAAUAUUGCACAAUGGGGGAAACCCUGAUGCAGCGACGCCGCGUGAGCGAUGAAGUAUUUCGGUAUGUAAAGCUCUAUCAGCAGGGAAGAAGAUGACGGUACCUGACUAGGAAGCCCCGGCUAACUACGUGCCAGCAGCCGCGGUAAUACGUAGGGGGCAAGCGUUAUCCGGAUUUACUGGGUGUAAAGGGAGCGUAGACGGCGAUGCAAGCCAGAUGUGAAAGCCCGGGGCGCAACCCCGGGACUGCAUUUGGAACUGUGUGGCUGGAGUGUCGGAGAGGCAGGCGGAAUUCCUAGUGUAGCGGUGAAAUGCGUAGAUAUUAGGAGGAACACCAGUGGCGAAGGCGGCCUGCUGGACGAUGACUGACGUUGAGGCUCGAAAGCGUGGGGAGCAAACAGGAUUAGAUACCCGAGUAGAA
This 449-nucleotide ribosomal RNA is filed under the name uncultured bacterium. RNAcentral describes it as "bacterial SSU rRNA". It matches the Rfam family "Bacterial small subunit ribosomal RNA", at positions 329 to 795 of the family's 1533-position model. The record is from RNAcentral.